UGCCAGCCGCCGCGGUAAUACGGAGAGGGCAAGCGUUGUUCGGAUUCACUGGGCAUAAAGCGCACGUAGGCGGGUUUUCAAGUCGGUUGUGAAAUCCCGGGGCUCAACCCCGGAACUGCUUCCGAAACUGAAAGCCUGGAGGACGAGAGGGGAGAGUGGAACUUCUGGUGGAGCGGUGAAAUGCGUAGAUAUCAGAAGGAACACCGGUGGCGAAAGCGACUCUCUGGCUCGUAUCUGACGCUGAGGUGCGAAAGCUUGGGUAGCGAACGGGAUUAGAUA
RNAcentral lists this ribosomal RNA (279 nucleotides) under uncultured bacterium. Its description in RNAcentral is "partial 16S ribosomal RNA". It matches the Rfam family "Bacterial small subunit ribosomal RNA", at positions 506 to 784 of the family's 1533-position model. The record is from RNAcentral.